Molecule: non-coding RNA, 27 nt
Filed under: Homo sapiens (human)
Lineage: Eukaryota; Metazoa; Chordata; Mammalia; Primates; Hominidae
Source: RNAcentral
UGAUCAGACGAACUACGAACCCCUGGA